RNAcentral lists this ribosomal RNA (937 nucleotides) under uncultured Ascomycota. RNAcentral's name for it is "eukaryotic LSU rRNA". It matches the Rfam family "Eukaryotic large subunit ribosomal RNA", at positions 1 to 953 of the family's 3401-position model. The record is from RNAcentral. Lineage: Eukaryota; Fungi; Ascomycota.
CUUUUGACCUCGGAUCAGGUAGGGAUACCCGCUGAACUUAAGCAUAUCAAUAAGCGGAGGAAAAGAAACCAACAGGGAUUGCCCCAGUAACGGCGAGUGAAGCGGCAACAGCUCAAAUUUGAAAUCUGGCUCUUUCAGAGUCCGAGUUGUAAUUUGCAGAGGGCGCUUUGGCGUUGGCAGCGGUCCAAGUUCUUUGGAACAGGACGUCACAGAGGGUGAGAAUCCCGUACGUGGUCGCUAGCCUUCGCCGUGUAAAGCCCCUUCGACGAGUCGAGUUGUUUGGGAAUGCAGCUCUAAAUGGGAGGUAAAUUUCUUCUAAAGCUAAAUACUGGCCAGAGACCGAUAGCGCACAAGUAGAGUGAUCGAAAGAUGAAAAGCACUUUGGAAAGAGAGUCAAAUAGCACGUGAAAUUGUUGAAAGGGAAGCGCUUGCAGCCAGACUUGCCUGUAGUUGCUUAUCCGGACUUUUGUCCGGUGCACUCUUCUGCGGGCAGGCCAGCAUCAGUUUGGGCGGUUGGAUAAAGGUCUCUGUCAUGUACCUCCUUUCGGGGAGGCCUUAUAGGGGAGACGACAUGCAACCAGCCUGGACUGAGGUCCGCGCAUCUGCUAGGAUGCUGGCGUAAUGGCUGUAAGCGGCCCGUCUUGAAACACGGACCAAGGAGUCUAACAUCUAUGCGAGUGUUUGGGUGUCAAGCCCAGACGCGUAAUGAAAGUGAACGGAGGUGGGAACCCUUUGGGUGCACCAUCGACCGAUCCUGAUGUCUUCGGAUGGAUUUGAGUAAGAGCAUGGCUGUUGGGACCCGAAAGAUGGUGAACUAUGCUUGAAUAGGGUGAAGCCAGAGGAAACUCUGGUGGAGGCUCGCAGCGGUUCUGACGUGCAAAUCGAUCGUCAAAUUUGGGCAUAGGGGCGAAAGACUAAUCGAACUAUCUAGUAGCUG